RNAcentral lists this ribosomal RNA (229 nucleotides) under uncultured bacterium. Its description in RNAcentral is "partial 16S ribosomal RNA". It matches the Rfam family "Bacterial small subunit ribosomal RNA", at positions 568 to 796 of the family's 1533-position model. The record is from RNAcentral.
CGCGCAGGCGGUCUGUCAAGUCAGAUGUGAAAGCCCACGGCUUAACCGUGGAAGUGCAUUUGAAACUGGCAGUCUUGAGUAUCAGAGGGGAAGGUGGAAUUCCCGGUGUAGAGGUGAAAUUCGUAGAUAUCGGGAGGAAUACCGGUGGCGAAGGCGACUUUCUGGCUGAAUACUGACGCUGAGGCGCGAAAGCGUGGGGAGCAAACAGGAUUAGAUACCCUGGUAGUCC